RNAcentral lists this ribosomal RNA (497 nucleotides) under uncultured bacterium. RNAcentral's name for it is "partial 16S ribosomal RNA". It matches the Rfam family "Bacterial small subunit ribosomal RNA", at positions 28 to 507 of the family's 1533-position model. The record is from RNAcentral.
GAUGAACGCUGGCGGCGUGCCUAAUACAUGCAAGUCGAGCGAACAGACGAGGAGCUUGCUCCUCUGACGUUAGCGGCGGACGGGUGAGUAACACGUGGAUAACCUACCUAUAAGACUGGGAUAACUUCGGGAAACCGGAGCUAAUACCGGAUAAUAUAUUGAACCGCAUGGUUCAAUAGUGAAAGACGGUUUUGCUGUCACUUAUAGAUGGAUCCGCGCCGCAUUAGCUAGUUGGUAAGGUAACGGCUUACCAAGGCAACGAUGCGUAGCCGACCUGAGAGGGUGAUCGGCCACACUAGAACUGAGACACGGUCCAGACUCCUACGGGAGGCAGCAGUAGGGAAUCUUCCGCAAUGGGCGAGAGCCUGACGGAGCAACGCCGCGUGAGUGAUGAAGGUCUUCGGAUCGUAAAACUCUGUUAUUAGGGGAGAACAAAUGUGUAAGUAACUAUGCACGUCUUGACGGUACCUAAUCAGAAAGCCACGGCUAACUACGUG